Molecule: ribosomal RNA, 1540 nt
Filed under: Staphylococcus aureus
Lineage: Bacteria; Bacillati; Bacillota; Bacilli; Caryophanales; Staphylococcaceae
Description: 16S ribosomal RNA
Rfam family: Bacterial small subunit ribosomal RNA
Source: RNAcentral
AGAGUUUGAUCCUGGCUCAGGAUGAACGCUGGCGGCGUGCCUAAUACAUGCAAGUCGAGCGAACGGACGAGAAGCUUGCUUCUCUGAUGUUAGCGGCGGACGGGUGAGUAACACGUGGAUAACCUACCUAUAAGACUGGGAUAACUUCGGGAAACCGGAGCUAAUACCGGAUAAUAUUUUGAACCGCAUGGUUCAAAAGUGAAAGACGGUCUUGCUGUCACUUAUAGAUGGAUCCGCGCUGCAUUAGCUAGUUGGUAAGGUAACGGCUUACCAAGGCAACGAUGCAUAGCCGACCUGAGAGGGUGAUCGGCCACACUGGAACUGAGACACGGUCCAGACUCCUACGGGAGGCAGCAGUAGGGAAUCUUCCGCAAUGGGCGAAAGCCUGACGGAGCAACGCCGCGUGAGUGAUGAAGGUCUUCGGAUCGUAAAACUCUGUUAUUAGGGAAGAACAUAUGUGUAAGUAACUGUGCACAUCUUGACGGUACCUAAUCAGAAAGCCACGGCUAACUACGUGCCAGCAGCCGCGGUAAUACGUAGGUGGCAAGCGUUAUCCGGAAUUAUUGGGCGUAAAGCGCGCGUAGGCGGUUUUUUAAGUCUGAUGUGAAAGCCCACGGCUCAACCGUGGAGGGUCAUUGGAAACUGGAAAACUUGAGUGCAGAAGAGGAAAGUGGAAUUCCAUGUGUAGCGGUGAAAUGCGCAGAGAUAUGGAGGAACACCAGUGGCGAAGGCGACUUUCUGGUCUGUAACUGACGCUGAUGUGCGAAAGCGUGGGGAUCAAACAGGAUUAGAUACCCUGGUAGUCCACGCCGUAAACGAUGAGUGCUAAGUGUUAGGGGGUUUCCGCCCCUUAGUGCUGCAGCUAACGCAUUAAGCACUCCGCCUGGGGAGUACGACCGCAAGGUUGAAACUCAAAGGAAUUGACGGGGACCCGCACAAGCGGUGGAGCAUGUGGUUUAAUUCGAAGCAACGCGAAGAACCUUACCAAAUCUUGACAUCCUUUGACAACUCUAGAGAUAGAGUCUUCCCCUUCGGGGGACAAAGUGACAGGUGGUGCAUGGUUGUCGUCAGCUCGUGUCGUGAGAUGUUGGGUUAAGUCCCGCAACGAGCGCAACCCUUAAGCUUAGUUGCCAUCAUUAAGUUGGGCACUCUAAGUUGACUGCCGGUGACAAACCGGAGGAAGGUGGGGAUGACGUCAAAUCAUCAUGCCCCUUAUGAUUUGGGCUACACACGUGCUACAAUGGACAAUACAAAGGGCAGCGAAACCGCGAGGUCAAGCAAAUCCCAUAAAGUUGUUCUCAGUUCGGAUUGUAGUCUGCAACUCGACUACAUGAAGCUGGAAUCGCUAGUAAUCGUAGAUCAGCAUGCUACGGUGAAUACGUUCCCGGGUCUUGUACACACCGCCCGUCACACCACGAGAGUUUGUAACACCCGAAGCCGGUGGAGUAACCUUUUAGGAGCUAGCCGUCGAAGGUGGGACAAAUGAUUGGGGUGAAGUCGUAACAAGGUAGCCGUAUCGGAAGGUGCGGCUGGAUCACCU